AUUCCACCAUUUCGCUUAUGGCAGUUUCAGACUCCGCCUCCUCUUUUUUCUUCUCAAAGCAAACGUCAGGUCCAUUUUCUGUCUCACAACUGGUCCAUUUGGUGUUCUCCUCUGCAUUUCAUUAACCAGGUCCUUACGAGCACCCUCAAGGGCUGCCUGAUCAAAUUCCUCUGGAAAGCUGGAGACUGAUGAUGCAGCAAGAAUGGUUGCCAGCUGAGGAACCUUCUGGCAGAAAACUUGUUGGACAUUCUUAGGCCAGUGUAAGAGCUACAUUUCUGAAGUUGUGAGCACUGCAAAUGACCGUUUGAAGAAUUUGUGCUUUCCCUCAAAGCACAUUGUCCAGAUGUCUGAAAGUAGACCAGAUGCCUUAAUCAGGUGAGGAUAAUGCUCAAUGAAGUGGUGCUUUGGAUGUAGGCUGAAAUCAGGGAAUGUACUUUGCCUUGUUGUUACAGCCAACUCAACAAUGUCUUUAAUGUUGUGUUUACACCGGGUGCGACAGCGGCGACAGGUUUCCAUGUAAUCCCUAUGGAAGGACGCGUUGUAGUGCCAAGCCACACGACGCAAUGGACGUGAAUGAAACGACGCGAGUGAAGCGAUUUUAAGCGAUCGGCGCGAUAUCGCGUCACAUUGCCCUCCUCCCCAAGUUGAAAAAUCUGAACUUUUUUGUCUUGUCGUACCGCGAUGACCAAUCAGUGACUGGAUAUGUAGUGACAUGGAAAUGUCUGGAGUUUGACUGAGUUGGAUGU
Molecule: long non-coding RNA, 746 nt
Organism: Thalassophryne amazonica
Lineage: Eukaryota; Metazoa; Chordata; Actinopteri; Batrachoidiformes; Batrachoididae
Exons: 3
Source: RefSeq, a predicted model, not a curated record